UGCCAGCCGCCGCGGUAAUACGGAAGGUCCAAGCGUUAAUCGGAAUUACUGGGCGUAAAGCGCGCGUAGGUGGUUUAUUAAGUUGGAUGUGAAAUCCCCGGGCUCAACCUGGGAACUGCAUCCAAAACUGAUUCACUAGAGUACGAUAGAGGGAGGUAGAAUUUCUGGUGUAGCGGUGAAAUGCGUAGAUAUCAGAAGGAAUACCAAUGGCGAAGGCAGCUCUCUGGCUCGUCACUGACGCUGAGGUGCGAAAGCGUGGGUAGCAAACAGGAUUAGAUA
Molecule: ribosomal RNA, 279 nt
Filed under: uncultured bacterium
Lineage: Bacteria
Description: partial 16S ribosomal RNA
Rfam family: Bacterial small subunit ribosomal RNA
Source: RNAcentral